CAAUAGCGUAUAUUAAAGUUGUUGCGGUUAAAAGCUCGUAGUUGGAUUUCUGCUGAGGACGACCGGUCCGCCCUCUGGGUGAGUAUCUGGCUUGGCCUUGGCAUCUUCUUGGAGAACGUAGCUGCACUUGACUGUGUGGUGCGGUAUCCAGGACUUUUACUUUUGAGGAAAUUAGAGUGUUUCAAGCAGGCACACGCCUUGAAUACAUUAGCAUGGAAUAAUAAGAUAAGACUUUGGCGGUCUAUUUUGUUGGUUUGCACGCCAUUGUAAUGAUUGAUAGGGACAGUUGGGGUGAUUAUCAUAUUUAAUUGUCAGAGGUGAAAUUCUUGGAUUUAUGAAAAGAUGAACUACUGCGAAAGCAUUUACCAAGGAUGUUUUUCAUUAAUCAAGAACGAAAGUUAGGGGAGUCGAAGAUGAUCAGAU
This 423-nucleotide ribosomal RNA is filed under the name uncultured eukaryote. RNAcentral describes it as "bacterial SSU rRNA". It matches the Rfam family "Eukaryotic small subunit ribosomal RNA", at positions 592 to 1013 of the family's 1831-position model. The record is from RNAcentral.